AGGUAUUGAAAUAAGAUUUUAAAUGAGUGCUAAGAGAAUGAUUAAACAAUUAAAAACUCUUUAAUUAAAUAAUUAAAUUUAAUUUUUUUGUGCAAAAGCAAAAAUAAAAUUUAGGGCAAGAAGACCCUAUGAAUUUUAUUAUUAAUAUUUUGCAAUUAAAUUAUUAAUAAUUUAAUUGGGUGAUAAAAAAAGAAUAAGUAUCUUUUUAAUUAUAAAAUAAGUUCCGUUUUUAGCGAUUAAAUGAAAAAAAUACUCUAGGGAUAACAGCGUAAUAAUUUUGGAUAGUUCAUAUAGAUAAAAUAGUUUGCGACCUCGAUGUUGGAUUAGGAUUCUUUUUUGGUGAAGAA
Molecule: ribosomal RNA, 347 nt
Filed under: Ixodes scapularis (black-legged tick)
Lineage: Eukaryota; Metazoa; Arthropoda; Arachnida; Ixodida; Ixodidae
Description: partial 16S ribosomal RNA
Source: RNAcentral